Molecule: long non-coding RNA, 210 nt
Filed under: Neodiprion pinetum (white pine sawfly)
Lineage: Eukaryota; Metazoa; Arthropoda; Insecta; Hymenoptera; Diprionidae
Description: uncharacterized LOC124220267
Source: RNAcentral
AGUAAGAAGGGGGAUAGAGUAGACAGGUAGGCGGCGGAUAGAUAAGGUAGGGAGCGGUGAAGGAGAGAAAGAGUAUGAGUAACGCGGGUGGCCAAAAAGAAGGGGCGAACAGGGAAGAGGAGGAGAAAAAGAAAGGUAGGCCGGGGGCAGUAGCAGCGUUAGGGAGGAAUAGGAGGCAUAGCCUGGGAUCGGAAGAGCAUCGAGUAGGGA